AAGCAGAGUCCAAAAAAAGAACAGCGACGAUGGAGUUCCCCUUCGGCCACCACCACCGUCGCGAUCCUGAAGAAGAUGAACGACGAGAACGCCCGCCACCUUACUUCGGCCAGCCUCCGCCGCCGCCGCAGCCGUAUUAUCAAGAAAACGAGUAUGCUGCACCCCCCCCACCGCGCCCUGUGCCGCCACCAUACCAUCAAGAACCUGAAUUUUCAUCGCCACCACCUCCGCCCCGGCCGUAUCAUCAAGAAUCACAUGUGAGUCACGUGCAUCACUCCACUGAUCGGCCCGAAGGAUUCGGCUCUUUCAACUAUCAGCAACCACCACCACCA
This 332-nucleotide long non-coding RNA is filed under the name Citrus maxima (pomelo). RNAcentral describes it as "long non-coding RNA (CMAX_LNC002522)". Lineage: Eukaryota; Viridiplantae; Streptophyta; Magnoliopsida; Sapindales; Rutaceae. The record is from RNAcentral.